GAUAACUCAGCCUCUGCUCUGUGCUUGCGAGCAGGUGCUGUUACUGUCCCCUUUAACAGAUAAGGAGGUCGAGGCACAGCAGUACAGCCCACGACCUCCCAAAACCAAAAGGACGACGCAGACCUGUCCGUCUGGGUCCGUUCGUGGUCAUGGCGAAUCGGAGACCCCAGGGAAAGGGCCUCCGUGGUGAAGUGCGUAGCUGGCAGGCAUUCAGUCCGUGCUGGCCACCAUCAGUCUGUCGCUGACAACACGUGCUGUGACAGCAAGCAGCAAUCUGGCCCCUGCCAGCCUGUCGUUCGGAGCACUCCCAGCAGAAGACCCACCUCCGAAACAUCCCUUCUCCACUCACAUCGUUUCUGCCCCUGCCUGAAGAUGAGCAGCCUCUCGUCUGGAACACAGGUCCUCGUGGGCCUGAGGCCCAGAUGUUCUGCAACAUCAGGACCCUGAGGAUUCUACUGAGCACCUGCCAUGUGCCAGGGACACGCCCCAGGGGGAGCAAGGAAGGGGCAGAUGGAACCGUCUCUCUGGCAAAAGGCGCUCCCACGGGGGGAGGGGGACCACACGACAGGCCUGAGUGGUGAACACAACAGAGAUAAGUCGGACCAGAGGAAGGACAGUGCGUGACCCGAAGCUGUGAAAUAAAGGGGUGAAAGCAGGUGUCCCGCCCCGGGGGAGGGGCGCUCCCCGAGGCUGCCACUGCUCACUGCGCAGGAAAGAACCUGAACCGGCCUGGGAGGCAGAGCUCAGCCCAGAGGCAGGGUGGAGGGUGGGCACCGCGAGGGGGGCAGCACAGGAGGUGGGGCAGCGGGAGCCAUGGUGGGGAGAAUUCUGACUUCUGGUGUCUUCUCGCAGGAUCCCUGGCGGGUAAGGAGCUCAUUUCCUAACAUCAGUCAGAGGAGGACUCCAAGGGACUAUCCCAAAGUAUCCUGAAUGGUAUACAAAGAACUACGGUGCAUCAGCACAAAAGAUAAUUAUCCAACAGAAAAUGAGCAAAGGAUAUGAAGAGGCAAUGGUCAUAAAAUGAAUGCACCACCACCAUCCUGGUCCAGCCAGCUGCCACCUGAACCGCCAAACUCGGCCCCCACUCCCCACUCACGGUCCAUUCUCCACACACAGCCAGAGGGAUCCUGUCAGAACGACGUGAGACCCUGUCCCUCCCCUGCUCGGAACCUUCCUAAGGCACCUACAACACUCAGAGAAGACAAAGACCCCGCAGUGGCCCACAAGGCCCUGCCUAUCUGGCCCCAUCGCCUCUCUGACCUCACUCCCCUGCUCUCUCCCUCAGAUCCUCCUCUGGCCUCCUCACUGUUCCUCAGACACAGUCCUGCCACAGGGCCUUUGCACUAGCUAUGCCCUCUAUCUGGCAGACUCUUCCCCCGGCUACCUGUACGGCCCCCUUCCUCACCUUCUCCUGGUCUUUGCUCAGUCACCCUCGCAGCCCAUCACCUGGUCCUUACCAACCAUCUGAGCCUGAAAUAUUUCUCCUCCACAGCAACAUGACAACUCUACAAACACGUUCAUUUCCUAUUCGCCCACUGUCUCCCCCAGCAGAGUGGCAGUCCCACAGAGGUAGGGCUCUGGGCCGUUUUGUCCACUGUGCACCUAGCACCUAGGAUGAAGCCUUCCACGUAACAGGGACUCCACAGCAGUUGGGGAAUGAAUAAACGGCCUUAAAACCCUCCGAUGGUGCAGCACCACCCAGAACCCUCUCCUAGAGGGAAUCGGGAAGACUCCCGGGAAUUUGCCAAGAGAAGAACACGCUCACUGUGGGGUUCGCUGGUUUCCAGGGCUGCCCGCCUCCUCCCCCCACCGCUCGCCGCCCAUAAAGGUUCUUCACGUGCCAGCUCUGAGCCGUACGUGUCCCAACUCCGGGAAACACGCCAGCCCCCGGCCAUUGGGGCACUGAGGGAACAGCAACAAACAAAACAGGCCUAAACCCCUGCCCUGGCCAAGCCGACGCCCUAAUGAGGAGUCAGAAAAAAUCAAUCCGUACACCAGGAGUCAUAGAACAGAAUGUGAGCUAGGGAGAGGGACUGUGAAGAAAAAUUCAAACAGGGUGAAGGGACAGAAAAUGGCAGAGGUGCUUCUUCUGCUAUAGCUGGGGUGGUCAGACAAGGCCUCUCCACGGAGGGGACAAGUGAGCAACAGAGCCCUGACGAGAUUAGAGAGCGAGCCUCAGGAUAUCUAAGGCCACAAAGUGGAUGAGGCCACUCGGGAGCAAGUCUAGAGAGAGAAAAGGCCCAAAGACUGAGCCCUGGGCCCACUUGUGAUUGGAGGUCCGAAAGGUGCAUGAAUGAGGCACCAUCAGCCAAAUUAAUCCACCAGCAGGGACCCCCAAGGAACAGCCGUCAGAUGCCAGGCCUUCGGGAUGGAGCCAGGGCAGGCUUGGGCCAACGGCCACCAUUUCCAAGGGUCGAAAACCCUGGGCGGAGAGCAGCGGAUGGUGGCAGGGCCAUCCACCCAGCUGGGGAUCCACCCAGAAGCGAACUCUGAAGCUGAGAAUUAAGAUUUCUGGGGCGCCUGAGUGGAUCAGUCGGUUAAGCAUCUGACUCUUGAUUUUGGCUCAGGUCAUGAUCUCGGGGUCAUGGGAUCGAGGCCCUUAUUGGGCUCUACACUAGGCAUGGGGCCUGCUUGAGAUUCUCUCUCCCUCUCCCUCUGCCCCUCCCCUGCACUCUCUCUCUCCCUCUCUCUCUCUCUUUCUCACACACACACACACACAAUAAAUAAAAAAUUAAAAAAUAAUAAUAAUUUAAAAAAGAAUUCUUGGGUCACCACCCAAGCAGCAACUCUUCCCUGGCCCGCCCUACCAACACUAAAUCAAAGGUGGCUAAACAGUGAAGAAGACAGCAGGUGUGUGGUUUGAGCUCAGUGCACCCAGCAUCACCCGUACCCUCUUCUGCAAACAGCCAGGACAGUGAUGAGGAGCUCCCGCGUCCCCCACCACCCCACCGGCUUGUGGCCUGUGGGAUCAUGUGAUUGGUUGGAGGUUGGAGCACAUGACAUAAAUCUGCACCAAUUAGAGCUCGUCUGCUCAGAGUGACUGGGUCAGGCGUGGAGCACCUGAUCCUGAUAUCAGCCAAUGAAAACAUAGCGCUGCCCAGCUCACGGUCACUGGACCACGUCUCAACCAAUCAGAGCCCAACACUGCCCAGCUCAUAGCCACUGGGGUAAAGUGCAAGCUCAAGCACCCGGGAGAAGAAUAGAGGGCACAGGCAAAGAUUUCAUGUAAUUGGCUCACAUUAAACCACAUGACUCAGGCCCAAACCACUCAGAACAUCACAUUCUUCCAGCCACAGGUGGCCAAAGCCUGAGGGACUCUGGGAACUCAUGUCAGAGCUACUAAAAGAAAGGUUCCCUCUUUCCCACUACCCUUGAACUUUGGGAGGUGUGAGGCCAGGGUAACACGACCACCUGGUACCACACGGAAAACAGAGCUAAACAGUGGAAAGCAGAAGGUCGUGGAGGCAUCCGGCCCGGCCCAGAGCCAGCACCACCCCUAUACGUCUCAGCUACUUGAACUCACAAGUGUUUUGAUUAAGCCAGUCAGAGCUGGGUUUUCCUGUCACUUCUAUUGCAGAGAGAGGAGAUGGGGGAACAUCUCACCUUGAGGAGAAGGGGGUACUUGCAAAUCCUCUGAAUUGGAGACAGCAGGUAGCCCUCCAGAGGGAUGUCUGUGGUCUUCCGGCCUCCCAGAAGCAUGCAACUC
Leopardus geoffroyi (Geoffroy's cat) is the source of this 3706-nucleotide long non-coding RNA. RefSeq lists it as uncharacterized. The record is from RefSeq and is a predicted model, not a curated record. Lineage: Eukaryota; Metazoa; Chordata; Mammalia; Carnivora; Felidae. The transcript has 3 exons.